AGCGAACGCUGGCGGCGUACUUAACACAUGCAAGUCGAACGAGGAGCUUCCGCGGUGUAGCAAUACAUCGGAGCUUCGAGUGGCGCACGGGUGAGUAACACGUGGGCAACCUGCCCUUGAGUCCGGGAUACCCUCUCGAAAGGACUGAGGCUAAUACUGGAUACGUUCUUCGGAUCGCAAGGUCUGGAGAGGAAAGGUAGCGAAAGCUGCCGCUCUUGGAGGGGCUCGCGGCCUAUCGACAGCUAGUUGGUGAGGUCACGGCUCACCAAGGCUAUGACGGGUAGCUGGUCUGAGAGGACGACCAGCCACACGGGAACUGAGACACGGUCCCCCGGACUCCUACGGGAGGCAGCAGUGGGGAAUUUUCCGCAAUGGGCGAAAGCCUGACGGAGUGACGCCGCGUGGGGGAUGAAGGCCUUCGGGUUGACGUAAACCCCUGUCAGAGGGAAAGAAGGGUCGGCGCGUGAAUAGCGCGUCGACCUGACGGUACCUUCAGAGGAAGCCCCGGCCAACUCUGUGUAGCCAGCAGCCGCGGUAAGACAGAGGGGGCGAGCGUUGCUCGGAAUUACUGGGCGUAAAGGGCGCGUAGGCGGGAUGGCAAGUCGGUCGUGAAGCCAUCCCUGGGCUCAACUCAGGGGGGUCGGCCGAUACUGCCAUUCUUGAGGGAUGCAGAGGAGACUGGAAUUCCCGGUGUAGCGGUGAAAUGUGGAGUAGAGAUCGGGAGGAACACCGGUGGCGAAGGCGGGUCUCUGGGGCAUUCCCUGACGCUGAGGCGCGAAAGCGUGGGGAGCAAACGGGAUUUUCAGAUACCCCGGUAGUCCACGCUGUAAACGAUGAGAACUAGCUGUUGGGUGAAUUAAAUCACUUAGUGGCGCAGCUAACGCGAUAAGUUCUCGAGCGCCUGGGGAGUACGGCCGCAAGGUUAAAACUCAAAGGAAUUGACGGGGGCCCGCACAAGCGGUGGAUGAUGUGGAUUAAUUCGAUGCAACCUUGCGAAGAACCUUACCUAGCCUUGACAUGUCCGGAAGCCCGCAGAAACGUGGGUGUGCCCGAAAGGGAAUCGGAACACAGGUGCUGCAUGGCCUCUGUCGUCAGCUCGUGUCGUGAGAUGUUGGGUUAAGUCCCGUAACGAGCGCAACCCUUAUCGUUAGUUGCCAUCGGGUCAAGCCGGGCACUCUGCUAGCGAAACCGCCUCGGAUAACGGGGAGGAAGGUGGGGAUGACGCCAAGUCCUCAUGGCCUUUAUGUCCAGGGCUACACACGUGCUACAAUGACGCACGGUACAAACCGUCGCAAACCCGCGAGGGGGAGCUAAUCGGAAAAAGCCGUGCUCAGUUCGGAUUGGAGUCUGCAAUUCGGCUCCAUGUAUAAGCUGGAAUCGCUAGUAAUCGCGGAUCAGAACGCCGCGGUGAAUACGUUCCCGGGCCUUGUACACACCGCCCGUCACAUCACGAAAGUGGGAUACUGCACUAGGAGCCGGCGUGCCAACCGCAAGGGGGUAGCCGUCCAAGGUAUGGUUCAUGAUUGGGGUG
RNAcentral lists this ribosomal RNA (1531 nucleotides) under uncultured bacterium. Its description in RNAcentral is "partial 16S ribosomal RNA". It matches the Rfam family "Bacterial small subunit ribosomal RNA". The record is from RNAcentral.